RNAcentral lists this ribosomal RNA (208 nucleotides) under uncultured bacterium. RNAcentral's name for it is "partial 16S ribosomal RNA". It matches the Rfam family "Bacterial small subunit ribosomal RNA", at positions 1293 to 1500 of the family's 1533-position model. The record is from RNAcentral.
UCGGAUUGUAGUNUGCAACCCGACUACAUGAAGCUGGAAUCGCUAGUAAUCGCGAAUCAGAAUGUCGCGGUGAAUACGUUCCCGGGUCUUGUACACACCGCCCGUCACACCAUGGGAGUCGGAAAUGCCCAAAGUCAGUGACCUAACCGAAAGGGAGGAGCUGCCGAAGGUGGAGCCGGUAACUGGGGUGAAGUCGUAACAAGGUAGC